GUGAAUCAUCGAAUUUUUGAACGCAAAUUGCACUCUCUGGUAUUCCGGAGAGUAUGCCCGUUUGAGGGUCAGUUUAAAUAAAAAUCGGUGUGGUUGCUGCCUCUCGUGGUGACGCACCGGAUGUGGGUCGUCUUGCCUUCGGUUAAGUGACCUGAAAUUUUGCAUGAAUUUUUCGCACGUAUUUAAAUUAUUUUACUUACGUUUGCGAUCUCCAAUACUAGGUGCUGUCAUCCUCA
Molecule: unclassified non-coding RNA, 236 nt
Filed under: Glomeraceae sp.
Lineage: Eukaryota; Fungi; Glomeromycota; Glomeromycetes; Glomerales; Glomeraceae
Description: partial contains 5.8S ribosomal RNA and internal transcribed spacer 2
Rfam family: 5.8S ribosomal RNA (bases 1-71)
Source: RNAcentral